UACGUAGGGGGCAAGCGUUGUCCGGAAUCAUUGGGCGUAAAGCGCGUGUAGGCGGUUCAGUAAGUCUGCUGUGAAAGUCCAGGGCUCAACCCUGGGAUGCCGGUGGAUACUGCCGAACUAGAGUACGGAAGAGGCGAGUGGAAUUCCCGGUGUAGCGGUGAAAUGCGCAGAUAUCGGGAGGAACACCAAUUGCGAAGGCAGCUCGCUGGGACGUCACUGACGCUGAGACGCGAAAGCGUGGGGAGCAAACAGG
Molecule: ribosomal RNA, 253 nt
Filed under: uncultured bacterium
Lineage: Bacteria
Description: partial 16S ribosomal RNA
Rfam family: Bacterial small subunit ribosomal RNA
Source: RNAcentral